Molecule: transfer RNA, 74 nt
Filed under: Eubacteriales bacterium
Lineage: Bacteria; Bacillati; Bacillota; Clostridia; Eubacteriales
Description: tRNA-Val
Rfam family: tRNA
About the family: Transfer RNA (tRNA) molecules are approximately 80 nucleotides in length. Their secondary structure includes four short double-helical elements and three loops (D, anti-codon, and T loops). Further hydrogen bonds mediate the characteristic L-shaped molecular structure. tRNAs have two regions of fundamental functional importance: the anti-codon, which is responsible for specific mRNA codon recognition, and the 3' end, to which the tRNAs corresponding amino acid is attached (by aminoacyl-tRNA synthetases). tRNAs cope with the degeneracy of the genetic code in two manners: having more than one tRNA (with a specific anti-codon) for a particular amino acid; and 'wobble' base-pairing, i.e. permitting non-standard base-pairing at the 3rd anti-codon position.
Source: RNAcentral
GGAGGCUUAGCUCAGCUGGUUAGAGCACCUGCCUUACAAGCAGGGGGUCACUGGUUCGAGUCCAGUAGUCUCCA